GAUCAUGGCUCAGGAUGAACGCUAGCGGCAGGCUUAACACAUGCAAGUCGAGGGGCAGCGCGAUGUAGCAAUACAUUGGCGGCGACCGGCGCACGGGUGCGUAACACGUAUGGAACUUACCCUUUACUGGGAGAUAGCCCGGAGAAAUCCGGAUUAAUAUCCCAUAAUAAACGAAGUGGCAUCACUUUGUUUUGAAAGCUCCGGCGGUAAAGGAUGGCCAUGCGCACGAUUAGCUAGUAGGUGAGGUAACGGCUCACCUAGGCUACGAUCGUUAGGGGGCCUGAGAGGGUUAUCCCCCACACUGGUACUGAGACACGGACCAGACUCCUACGGGAGGCAGCAGUGAGGAAUAUUGCGCAAUGGAGGCAACUCUGACGCAGCCAUGCCGCGUGCAGGAAGAAGGCGCUACGCGUUGUAAACUGCUUUUAACCGGGAAGAAACCCUCCGACGUGUCGGAGGUUGACGGUACCGGAGGAAUAAGCACCGGCUAACUUCGUG
This 498-nucleotide ribosomal RNA is filed under the name uncultured bacterium. RNAcentral's name for it is "bacterial SSU rRNA". It matches the Rfam family "Bacterial small subunit ribosomal RNA", at positions 15 to 507 of the family's 1533-position model. The record is from RNAcentral.